This 164-nucleotide ribosomal RNA is filed under the name uncultured bacterium. RNAcentral describes it as "partial 16S rRNA". It matches the Rfam family "Bacterial small subunit ribosomal RNA", at positions 355 to 511 of the family's 1533-position model. The record is from RNAcentral.
UAGGGAAUCUUCCACAAUGGGCGCAAGCCUGAUGGAGCAAUACCGCGUGAGUGAAGAAGGGUUUCGGCUCGUAAAGCUCUGUUGUUAAAGAAGAACACGUAUGAGAGUAACUGUUCAUACGUUGACGGUAUUUAACCAGAAAGUCACGGCUAACUACGUGCCGG